RNAcentral lists this ribosomal RNA (497 nucleotides) under Dendrobaena annectens. RNAcentral's name for it is "Dendrobaena sp. 1 TS-2015 partial 16S ribosomal RNA". It matches the Rfam family "Bacterial large subunit ribosomal RNA", at positions 1808 to 2606 of the family's 2925-position model. Lineage: Eukaryota; Metazoa; Annelida; Clitellata; Crassiclitellata; Lumbricidae. The record is from RNAcentral.
CAAAAACAUUGCUUCAUGAAACCCUAUAUGAAGUAAUUCCUGCCCAGUGAUUCAACGGCCGCGGUAUCCUAACCGUGCAAAGGUAGCAUAAUCACUUGCCCAUUAAUUGUGGGCUAGAAUGAACGGAACAACGAAAUAAGAACUGUCUCUUUAGUCACUAUAAAAAUUAAUCUUCAAUUGAAGAACAUUGAAUUAUGUUGAAGGACAAGAAGACCCUAUAGAGCUUAAUUUUAUCAGAUAUAUUAUCUCCAUAAAAUUCGGUUGGGGCGACCAGGGAAGUAACAAAUCAUCCCCUAGAAAAAGAUUAAUAUAUCCCAUUUUUAUUGACCCUUAAUCAAGAUCAUAAGAAUAAGCUACCUUAGGGAUAACAGGCUAAUCCCAUUAGAGAGUCCUUAUUUAUAAUGGGGUUUGGCACCUCGAUGUUGGCUUAGGGAAUCCAUGCGACGCAAAAGUCACAUAAAGAUGGUUUGUUCAACCAAUAAUACCCUACAUGAUCU